AUUGUGACCACCUGGAUGAUAAUCACUGAGCUAACAAGGUAAUUGGGGAGAAUAUAAGGAGAGGAAACAGGAAGCAAAGGCAGCUGAGGAAGGAGCUCAAGAGGAACUCAGAAGGAAGCUCAGAGGGUGAGCCUGGGCUGAAGAGUGAGGGCUACAGGGAAGUCUGUCCUUGCUAUAAGCCCAUGUUGCAUGUUCUGGUGAUGCAGGAGGGAAAUAAUGCACACCUUGUUGAAGGAUCAACAGCCUGGUGUGUGUUUAUGACUGCGGAACCACCUGAACUAGUGCCCUGUGAAACACUGUAACACUCCGUAACUAAGUAACCCAUCAAACAGAACAAAUGUGUAAUGCAAAUGAAGGACUAUAGCAGGAAGGUGCGAAUCCCUGCAUAUUUCAAAAAAAAAGAAAAGUUAAUGUCUGAGGA
This is a long non-coding RNA of Dermochelys coriacea (leatherback sea turtle), 421 nucleotides long. RefSeq lists it as uncharacterized. The record is from RefSeq and is a predicted model, not a curated record. NCBI's taxonomy places the organism in Eukaryota, Metazoa, Chordata, Testudines, Dermochelyidae. The transcript is spliced from 3 exons.